GAUGAACGCUGGCGGCGUGCCUAAUACAUGCAAGUCGAGCGAACAGAUGAGGAGCUUGCUCCUCUGACGUUAGCGGCGGACGGGUGAGUAACACGUGGAUAACCUACCUAUAAGACUGGGAUAACUUCGGGAAACCGGAGCUAAUACCGUAUAAUAUAUUGAACCGCAUGGUUCAAUAGUGAAAGACGGUUUUGCUGUAUCUUCUCGCUGGAUCUGCGCCGCAUUAGGGAGUUGUUAAGCUAACGGCUUACCAAGGCAACGAUGCGUAGCCGACCGGAGAGGCUGGUAGCCCACACUGGAACGUGACCACGGUCCAUACUCCUACGGGAGGCAGCAGUAGGGAAUCUUCCGCAGUGGGCGAAAGCCUGACGGAGCAACGCCGCGUGAGUGAUGAAGGUCUUCGGAUCGUAAAACUCUGUUAUUAGGGAAGAACAAAUGUGUAAGUAACUAUGCACGGCUUGACGGUACCGAAUCAGAAAGCCACGGCUAACUACGUG
RNAcentral lists this ribosomal RNA (497 nucleotides) under uncultured bacterium. RNAcentral's name for it is "partial 16S ribosomal RNA". It matches the Rfam family "Bacterial small subunit ribosomal RNA", at positions 28 to 507 of the family's 1533-position model. The record is from RNAcentral.